UCGAUCCUGGCUCAGAUUGAAUGCUGGCGGGAUGCUUUACACAUGCAAGUCGAACGGCAGCACGGUUUCGGUCUGGUGGCGAGUGGCCGAACGGGUGAUAUGUAUCGGAACGUGCCUAGUAGCAGGGGAAUAACUACGCGAAAGCGUAGCUAAUACCACAUGCGCCCUUCGAGGAAAGCGGGGGACCUUCGGGCCACCUCGCACUAUUAAACGGCCGAUAUCGGAUUAGCUAGUUGGUGGGAAUGGUAGCACGGCUCACCGGGCGACGAUCCGUAGCUGGUUUGAGAGGACGACAACCACACUGGGACUGGACGCCAUUUGGAGGCUCACCGGAACGCGGUGGGAAUUUUUGGACGGCGGAAACCUGAUCCAGCCAUCCCGCGUGUGCGAUGAAGGCCUUCGAGUUUGUAAAGCACUUUUGGCGGAAAGAAACGCGCGGAUAAUACCCCGUGCAACUGACGGUACUGCCUGCAGAAUAAGCACCGGCUAACUACGUGCCAGCAGCCGCGGUAAUACGUAGAGAAGUUGCAAGCGUUAAUCAGAUUACUGGGCGUAAAGCGUGCGCAGGCAGUUCGGAAGAAGAUGUGAAAUCAGAAGCAACACAGUUUCAUUUUUAACUACCGAGCUAGAGUGUGUCAGAGGGGUGGAAUUCCACGCGUGUAGCAGUGAAAUGCGUAGAUAUGCGGAGGAACACCGAUGGCGAAGGCAGCCUCUGAUUAACACUGACGCUCAUGCGAAAGCGUGGGGAGCAAACAGGAUUAGAUACCCUGGUAGAUCCCCGCCUAAACGAUGUCAGCAACCUGUUGAGGCCUUCGGGCCUUGGUAGCGCAGCUAACGCGUGAAGUUGACCGCACAGGGAGAUACGGUCGCAAGAUUAAAAACUCAAAGGAAUUGACGGGGACCCGCACAAGCGGUGGAUGAUGUGGAUUAAUUCGAUGCAACGCGAAAAACCUUACCUACCCUUGACCAUCGGAAUCCCGAAGAGAUUUGGGAGUGCUCGCAAGAGAACCGGAACACAGGUGCUGCAUGGCUGUCGUCAGCUCGUAUUGUCGUGAGAUGUUGGGUUAAGUCCCGCAACGAGCACCAACCCUUGUGUCAUUAGUUGCUACGAAAGGGCACUCUAAUGAGACUGCCGGUGACAAACCGGAGGAAGGUGGGGAUGACGUCAAGUCCUCAUGGCCCAUAUGGGUAGGGCUUCACACGUCAUACAAUGGUCGGGACAGAGGGUCGCCAACCGCGAGGAGCCAAUCCCAGGGAAACCCGAUCGUAGUCCGGAUCGCAGUCUGCAACUCGACUGCGUGAAGUCAGAAUCGCUAGUAAUCGCGGAUCAGCAUGUCGCGGUGAAUACGUUCCCGGGUCUUGUACACACCGCCCGUCACACCAUGGGAGUGGGUUUUGCAAGUAGUUAGCCUAACCGUAAGGAGGGCGAUUACCACGGUAGGAUUCAUGACUGGGGUGAAGUCGUAACAAGGUAA
This 1475-nucleotide ribosomal RNA is filed under the name uncultured Bordetella sp. RNAcentral's name for it is "partial 16S-23S ribosomal RNA intergenic spacer". It matches the Rfam family "Bacterial small subunit ribosomal RNA". The record is from RNAcentral. Lineage: Bacteria; Pseudomonadati; Pseudomonadota; Betaproteobacteria; Burkholderiales; Alcaligenaceae.